GCACUGGUAGCUCAAUGGAUAGAGUACCCGGCUACGAACCGGGCGGUUAUAGGUUCGACUCCUGUCCAGUGCG
Molecule: transfer RNA, 73 nt
Filed under: Chlamydiota bacterium
Lineage: Bacteria; Pseudomonadati; Chlamydiota
Description: Chlamydiae bacterium (freshwater metagenome) tRNA-Arg
Rfam family: tRNA
About the family: Transfer RNA (tRNA) molecules are approximately 80 nucleotides in length. Their secondary structure includes four short double-helical elements and three loops (D, anti-codon, and T loops).
Source: RNAcentral